This 480-nucleotide ribosomal RNA is filed under the name Triticum aestivum (bread wheat). RNAcentral's name for it is "partial small subunit ribosomal RNA". Lineage: Eukaryota; Viridiplantae; Streptophyta; Magnoliopsida; Poales; Poaceae. The record is from RNAcentral.
AUGCCACCACCCACUCCAGAUCGAGAGGAGCUCGAUCUCGACCUCGCUCCCGACCAGUGCCUCCCCUCGCGUUCGGCCCAUGUCAGAGCUCGUCGUCGCCGGCCACCCAAACAACAACUGCAGCCCCGCCGCCGGCUGACCGAACCAGCACCCGCGCCAAGCCUCCUGCCCCAGGGACGCGCUUCCUCCCGAGCUCAUCCUUCUGUGGAUCCCCUCGAUCCCCUGCCUUGCCGCGUCUGCCUCCUCACCUCGGCCCCGAGCGCCACCCCCGUCGACGGCCUCGCCGGAGCAGCGCCGCCGAAUCAGGCCAGCUCCUCGCGCCCUGCUUCCCUUCCAUCUCCUGAUGUUCGUCUUCCCCUGCUCUUUUUCAUAUAUCUCUCUCUGUUUAUGAGCACAGGAGGUGUGGAGCAUCGCGCCGUCGUCCUCGGUCGUUGCCGCCCGCCGUUGUUCUUCACCGGAUCCGGCAUCCCCGGCCCCUGA